This 324-nucleotide unclassified non-coding RNA is filed under the name soil metagenome. RNAcentral describes it as "partial contains 5.8S ribosomal RNA, internal transcribed spacer 2, and large subunit ribosomal RNA". The stretch from base 1 to 120 matches the Rfam family "5.8S ribosomal RNA", at positions 35 to 154 of the family's 154-position model. The record is from RNAcentral.
GAUGAAGAAGGUAGCGAAAUGCGAUAAGUUGUGUGAAUUGCAGAAUUCAGUGAAUCAUCGAAUCUUUGAACGCACAUUGCGCCCCUUGGUAUUCCAUGGGGCAUGCCUGUUCGAGCGUCAUUUGUACCUUCAAGCUUUGCUUGGUGUUGGGUGUUUGUCCCUCCGGACUCGCCUUAAAGUCAUUGGCAGCCAGUGUUUUGGUUUUGAAGCGCAGCACAAGUCGCGAUUCAAGGCUAUCCGCCCGCUUCCACAAGCCUUUUUCACUUUUGACCUCGGAUCAGGUAGGGAUACCCGCUGAACUUAAGCAUAUCAAUAAGCGGAGGA